GUCUCCGGCCGUACCACCCUGAACGCGCCCGAUCUCGUCUGGUCUUGGAAGCUCAGCAGGGUCGGGCCUGGUUAGUACUUGGAUGGGAGAAACACACAUUGUAUUAGGAGGAA
RNAcentral lists this ribosomal RNA (113 nucleotides) under Octodon degus (degu). Lineage: Eukaryota; Metazoa; Chordata; Mammalia; Rodentia; Octodontidae. The record is from RNAcentral.